GUAGCAGGAAGUGCUUGCACUUUGCUGACGAGUGGCGGACGGGUGAGUAAUACUUAGGAACAUGCCUUUGUGUGGGGGAUAACCAUUGGAAACGAUGGCUAAUACCGCAUAAUGUCUUUGGACCAAAGAGGGCUUUCGGGCUCUCGCGCAAAGAGUGGCCUAAGUGAGAUUAGCUUGUUGGUGAGGUAAAGGCUCACCAAGGCGACGAUCUCUAGCUGUUCUGAGAGGAAGAUCAGCCACACUGGGACUGAGACACGGCCCAGACUCCUACGGGAGGCAGCAGUGGGGAAUAUUGCACAAUGGGGGCAACCCUGAUGCAGCCAUGCCGCGUGUGUGAAGAAGGCCUUCGGGUUGUAAAGCACUUUCAGUUGUGAGGAAAGGUUGAUGGUUAAUACCCAUCAGCUGUGACGUUAGCAACAGAAGAAGCACCGGCUAACUCCGUGCCAGCAGCCGCGGUAAUACGGAGGGUGCGAGCGUUAAUCGGAAUUACUGGGCGUAAAGCGCACGCAGGCGGUUAUAUAAGCUAGAUGUGAAAGCCCCGGGCUCAACCUGGGAAUAGCAUUUAGAACUGUAUGACUAGAGUCUUGGAGAGGGGAGUGGAAUUCCAGGUGUAGCGGUG
RNAcentral lists this ribosomal RNA (619 nucleotides) under uncultured bacterium. Its description in RNAcentral is "bacterial SSU rRNA". It matches the Rfam family "Bacterial small subunit ribosomal RNA", at positions 69 to 683 of the family's 1533-position model. The record is from RNAcentral.